CGGACUAUACUCAAGAAAAGUUGCAGGAUCUCUUCUACAAGUAAAAAACUGACACUAGUAAAAGGCCAUCAUAUAGACCAUAACUCCUGCUUAUACAUGCAUAUCAAGACACUGAAGUUGAAAAGGCACUAAUAAAAUUAAAACUGACUGUUCCAACAUUCAAAAUUAGAGGCAGUAAUCAGCUUCCUUGAAGCUAAACUUUUUCCCACAAGUAUUCACUUGCAGUAUAAUAUUCUAGUAACAUUGGGGGCCAAACGCAUAACGAUCACACAAAUAAUAAAUUUGUAGCAAAAAAGAAGAUAUUCCCAAAAAACUGGAGUAUUCAUUCAAUUUAUCUCUCACACAAACUUUCUAGAUCACUGUAGGCACAGAACCAUAGGUAACUUUAACUAUAGAGAUUUACAAUAAAAAGAAAACAUUAAUAACCAAAUGUUCAGCUCGAAUCAACAACCAUAAACCUUAAGUCAUGGAUUUGAAUUGUCAUCAAAUAUACUCCCUAGUAUUCAAGAAAUGGGGACUAUACUCAAGAAAAGUAAAAAAAGAUCUUGUGGAAGUGGAAAAUUGAUACUUUAAAAGGGGUUGCUUAGACAUGCCUAUAGAGACAGUGAGGUUGGAAGAAUACUAAUAAAAUUAAAUUGGCUGUUCCAACAAUCAAGUCAGAGGCAUUAAUUAGCUCCCUGUGCACCAAAACUCCAAUCCAAGAAUGGUUUCUACAAUCCACGAGUCUUCAAUCGCAGUUUAAUAUGCUAGUGCUAUUGGGGGGCCAAAUACAUAACAAUCUUAUAAAUACUGCAAAUGAAGCAAAAAGAUGACACUUCCGAAAACUGGAGUAUUUAUUCAAUUUAUCUCACACAGACUUUUCCGGAUCGCUCUAGGCACAAAAGCAUAGGUAGAUCAACAAUAGCAAUUUACAAAAAAAAAAGAAGAAGAAGAAGAAGAAGAAGAAAAGAGAAGAACAUCAAUAACCAAAUGUUCGGACUUCGGCUCAAGUAACAAUAACGACAAAAUUAGUCAUGGAUUCAAAUUUCAUAAGAUACACUUUCUUCGUCCCACUCAAACUGGCUUAUUUGGAUUUCUUGGUCGAAUUGACUGUUUUUGUUAUUCAAAUCAUGUGAUAUAUACAUUUUACAAAAACAAUGGUUUAAAAUAUUUAAUUUGAAAUUAAAAAAAAAGGAAGCUAGUUUGAGUUGGACAAAGGGAGUAAUUGGCAUACUCUAAUUUUAAAUGCCUUUCCUAAUAAAUUUGAACAGGUUUUACCAGUUGAUAGGGUGGAUGGAUUAUAUUAAAUACCAAGUCCAAAAGUAUUACAACACCCAAGCAUCUGACCGACUAAAUAUUAGCUCCCGUCCACACACUUUUCACUUCUUUUCAUCUAAAGCUGAACUGCCACAUUUACAUGUAUGCAUUCUUCUACACAGGAUACUUCGACAAAAAGAAAUUAACAUAUAUAAGGUCGGGUUUCGCGUGAUGGUUGGGUGUUUCUUGAUAUCCGCUAGAUCAGGGGUUUAAAACCCCUGAAGCGACCUGCUGCUUAAUUAGGGAUCCUUUCCUAGGUCAUAUUGAUGUAGCAGUCUUGUGUAUGGGCACGACCUUUGAUAUAGCAAGGGACAAAAUAUAGAUUGGUUGUCACAGAUGGCUAGAGCCUAGAAGAUUGGUGAAAUAAAUAAAAAAUCUACAAACUCCAGUAGGUGAGACCUUAGGCAAAAUCGAUACUCUCAGCUACAAUUUACAUGCAAUCCAGACCAAAGAGUCAGAGAAGUCGGAAUUUGGAAGAGAGUUGACAGAGACAGUUCGAUCCCAAAAAUACAGGAAGCUGCAAUUUGAAUGUAAUGUUUUAAAAACAGAGUAAAAGGCACGAGACUUUAAUUAAAUGUUUUUGACUUGCAACAAGGAGCCAAGACCGGGACUCCAUAAUCAAACAAUUCAUCUUGGACUCCUCAAGUCUCAACCCAAGCCAAUCAAAAAAUAAGUGUGUCCUCACACGAUUGCACUAUCCCUAGUUUCACACGAACCACGGGGCUAAUACAAUCUAAGGCAUUUAAUCCAUUUAGAUGUUUUAUAAACCACGAAAGCAUUUAGAUUUGGUAAGAUAUCCCAUUCAGGAUAUGAGUACAUGACUUCCUAAAGAAUGAGGUCAAGUCAUGGCGAAACUGCAAUUAACUAGUUCUCAACGAAGCUAAAAGUCAAGAGAUAAGCUCAAUACUUAUUACUUAUCCUUUAAAAUAUGGAUGCUUGCUUCAAACUGAGCUUGUAAAGAUAAUCUCAACUUUAUGUGGAAUGUUACCUGGAACAGAUAGAUUAACCAGACCUGAAAAGAGAUGAGGAAAACAAAAGAUUAGUUAUAUUAAUAUUUUAUUAAUGUGGAAAUCUUAUUUGGUUCAAUUUCCAAAAUAUCAAUAACAAGAAGAAAAAAAAUUACAAACACCAAAUACAAGAUAGUUUAGUUGCUGUAAUCUUUAUAUCUAGAAUGUGUCCUCAGUCCUCACUGACUAAUUAACAUAGCUAAAUCUUGUUCACUGAUGAACGAUGAUAAUGAGAUUAGUAAAUAAUAUAGAUAACAUGAGCAGAGAGAAGUAGCAGCAUCUAGAUUUUAAAGGUGUUCCUCUGUCCCUAUAUACCGAGUAAUCCUCCUAAAUGCAUCAAUUUUCUCUUUUACUAGACUCUAAGUUGUUUAUAUAGUAACAUUAAGAACCACGCACUGGUCAAGACAAGUCUAUAUAUCAUGUGCUAGUCCUAAUGAUAAUAGCUAGAGUAGAUAAUAAGUUAAAACAACUUCUACAAAUGAAAAAACCAAGAUUAGUCAUCAGUAUAUAUAUACGAAGCAUAUAGAAGAAAAUAUGAAUGUUACCCACACUCAGUUGGGGCUGUGGGUGUCGAACAUUGGUAAAAAUCAACUCGACAUAUACUUAAAUUUCAAAAAAUAUUAGAAUCUAGAACUGGACAAGAAUGCCGGAACUCAGGAUGCAAGGGUAACCCAUAAAAUUUUAUAUAUUCUUAAUUUUUGGACCAUUGGAAAUAUAAUCUAUUACCCCCAAAUAAGAUGGACUUGCAUCUAUAUAAAAAUAUAUGACACAUAUUUUCAAAAAAAUAAUUCAAAAACGAGUUGCCUAGGGGCCUUCAGUUACUAUAUAUGAUUGCCUAGGGGCCUUCAGUUACUAUAUAUAAUUGCCUAGGGGCAUCUAAAUCUUUAUAGAAAUUCCCAGAUAUACUUGUCAAAAUUGAACAUUCUACACGAUCAGGCAGAUUAUCAUCCAGAAUUGAACUAUCAGUUGAUAAUAUUUUUCCAAAUAAAUGACUUCUUAGUCAAUUCCCUCAACUUGUACCGGCUAGUAAGAAGUAUACAAAUUAUCUAUGGGUAUGCUGGGAUAUAAAGAUUUUAUUUCAAAUGAUGUUUUUCUUCCAAACGAUUUUGGAUUUAGAUUAGAUAAAGAGCACCUAAAUAUCAAUUUAAAAUGACAACACAAUUCACGAACAACUCCACAUUUAACACAAUUAUAUGAUAUUUCACAAUGACAUAGGUAAUUGUCACAAAAUUCACAAAUUAGGCCCUAAAUGUUGAUAACUAUCACUAUAAUACAUAAAAUUUAACAAAAAUCUAAACUUAAAAGAUGAGCACCAUAACAUUAUUAAGUCAAUANCAAUCAAAAAAUAAGUGUGUCCUCACACGAUUGCACUAUCCCUAGUUUCACACGAACCACGGGGCUAAUACAAUCUAAGGCAUUUAAUCCAUUUAGAUGUUUUAUAAACCACGAAAGCAUUUAGAUUUGGUAAGAUAUCCCAUUCAGGAUAUGAGUACAUGACUUCCUAAAGAAUGAGGUCAAGUCAUGGCGAAACUGCAAUUAACUAGUUCUCAACGAAGCUAAAAGUCAAGAGAUAAGCUCAAUACUUAUUACUUAUCCUUUAAAAUAUGGAUGCUUGCUUCAAACUGAGCUUGUAAAGAUAAUCUCAACU
Molecule: long non-coding RNA, 3951 nt
Filed under: Daucus carota (carrot)
Lineage: Eukaryota; Viridiplantae; Streptophyta; Magnoliopsida; Apiales; Apiaceae
Description: long non-coding RNA (DCAR_LNC003296)
Source: RNAcentral